GACGAACGCUGGCGGCGUGCCUAAUACAUGCAAGUAGAACGCUGAAGGAGGAGCUUGCUUCUCUGGAUGAGUUGCGAACGGGUGAGUAACGCGUAGGUAACCUGCCUGGUAGCGGGGGAUAACUAUUGGAAACGAUAGCUAAUACCGCAUAAGAGUAGAUGUUGCAUGACAUUUGCUUAAAAGGUGCAAUUGCAUCACUACCAGAUGGACCUGCGUUGUAUUAGCUAGUUGGUGAGGUAACGGCUCACCAAGGCGACGAUACAUAGCCGACCUGAGAGGGUGAUCGGCCACACUGGGACUGAGACACGGCCCAGACUCCUACGGGAGGCAGCAGUAGGGAAUCUUCGGCAAUGGACGGAAGUCUGACCGAGCAACGCCGCGUGAGUGAAGAAGGUUUUCGGAUCGUAAAGCUCUGUUGUAAGGGAAGAACGAGUGUGAGAGUGGAAAGUUCACACUGAG
RNAcentral lists this ribosomal RNA (459 nucleotides) under Streptococcus mitis. Its description in RNAcentral is "bacterial SSU rRNA". It matches the Rfam family "Bacterial small subunit ribosomal RNA", at positions 28 to 473 of the family's 1533-position model. The record is from RNAcentral. Lineage: Bacteria; Bacillati; Bacillota; Bacilli; Lactobacillales; Streptococcaceae.